This 414-nucleotide ribosomal RNA is filed under the name uncultured bacterium. RNAcentral describes it as "bacterial SSU rRNA". It matches the Rfam family "Bacterial small subunit ribosomal RNA", at positions 29 to 418 of the family's 1533-position model. The record is from RNAcentral.
AACGAACGCUGGCGGCGUGGAUAAGACAUGCAAGUCGAACGCUAAUUAGAGUGUAGCAAUACAUUUUAGUUGGAGUGGCGCAAGGGUGCGUAACACGUGGGUAAUUUGCCGUGAAGUUCGGGAUAACUCGCUGAAAGGCGAGCUAAUACCGGAUGUGACUUUUGGGUAGGCAUCUCCUGGAAUUCAAAGUUGGGGACCGGUAAGGCCUGACGCUUCUCGAUAAGCCCGCGGCCUAUCAGCUAGUUGGUGAGGUAACGGCUCACCAAGGCUAAGACGGGUAGCUGGUCUGAGAGGACGGACCAGUCACACUGGAACUGAGACACGGUCCAGACACCUACGGGUGGCAGCAGUCGAGAAUUUUUCUCAAUGGGCGAAAGCCUGAAGGAGCGACGCCGCGUGGGGGAUGAAUGGCUU